This 487-nucleotide ribosomal RNA is filed under the name uncultured bacterium. Its description in RNAcentral is "bacterial SSU rRNA". It matches the Rfam family "Bacterial small subunit ribosomal RNA", at positions 28 to 513 of the family's 1533-position model. The record is from RNAcentral.
GAUGAACGCUAGCGGCAGGCUUAAUACAUGCAAGUCGAGGGGCAGCACGAAUAGCAAUAUUUGGUGGCGACCGGCAAACGGGUGCGGAACACGUACGCAACCUUCCUUUAAGUGGAGAAUAGCCCGGGGAACCCGGAUUAAUACUCCGUAACAUAUAAAGUGGCAUCACUUAGUAAUUAUAGAUUAUCGCUUAAGAUGGGCGUGCGCCUGAUUAGGUAGUUGGCGGAGUAAUAGCCCACCAAGCCUGCGAUCAGUAACUGGUGUGAGAGCACGACCAGUCACACGGGCACUGAGACACGGGCCCGACUCCUACGGGAGGCAGCAGUAAGGAAUAUUGGUCAAUGGACGCAAGUCUGAACCAGCCAUGCCGCGUGGAGGAUGAAGGUCCUCUGGAUCGUAAACUUCUUUUAUUUGGGUAAGAAAUGUGAUUAUUCUUUAUCACUUGACGGUACCAGAUGAAUAAGCACCGGCUAACUCCGUGCCAGCC